GGGGUUGUGGCUCAGUGGUAGAGUCCUUGCCUAGCGUGCACGAGGCACUGGGUUCACUGCCCAGCACCACA
RNAcentral lists this transfer RNA (71 nucleotides) under Marmota monax (woodchuck). RNAcentral's name for it is "tRNA.Ala". Lineage: Eukaryota; Metazoa; Chordata; Mammalia; Rodentia; Sciuridae. The record is from RNAcentral.